GAGUAACACGUGGGUAACCUGCCCUUGAGUUCGGGAUACCCCUCAAAGGGGGGCUAAUACCGGAUACGUUCCUUGGAUCGACAGGUCUGAGGAGGAAAGGUGGCGCAAGCUGCCGCUCUUGGAGGGGCUCGCGGCCUAUCAGCUAGUUGGCGGGGUAACGGCCCACCAAGGCUAUGACGGGUAGCUGGUCUGAGAGGACGACCAGUCACACGGGGACUGAGACACGGCCCCG
RNAcentral lists this ribosomal RNA (232 nucleotides) under uncultured bacterium. Its description in RNAcentral is "partial 16S ribosomal RNA". It matches the Rfam family "Bacterial small subunit ribosomal RNA", at positions 108 to 334 of the family's 1533-position model. The record is from RNAcentral.